This 72-nucleotide transfer RNA is filed under the name Hyaloperonospora arabidopsidis Emoy2. RNAcentral's name for it is "Hyaloperonospora arabidopsidis tRNA-Asn for anticodon GUU". It matches the Rfam family "tRNA". Rfam says of the family: Transfer RNA (tRNA) molecules are approximately 80 nucleotides in length. Their secondary structure includes four short double-helical elements and three loops (D, anti-codon, and T loops). The record is from Rfam by way of RNAcentral. Lineage: Eukaryota; Oomycota; Peronosporomycetes; Peronosporales; Peronosporaceae.
UUCUUUGUAGCUCAAUGGUAGAGCAAAUGGCUGUUAACCAUUAGGUUAUAGGUUCAAAUCCUAUCAAAGAUG